RNAcentral lists this ribosomal RNA (411 nucleotides) under uncultured prokaryote. RNAcentral's name for it is "partial 16S ribosomal RNA". The record is from RNAcentral.
CCCUAUGGGGUGCAGCAGGCCACGAUCAAUGAAAUACAGAAACACAUUAAUGCUCUUGUAGAGGAGCAAAAUAAUGAUAUAAUGUCGCUAGAAGAAACACUGAGGAGCGCAGGCUAUGAUGAACAAUCCAUCAAAAGAAUUGCCGCCGAAAGCGAAGACGCUAUUGCAACGUAUCAAAGCGAGACACAAGAGGAUCAAGGAUCUCAAGGAGCUCAAGAAGAGGCUGGAGAGGCACGAGCUCGUGGAGAUGAAACAGACGAAGACUUCGUCACAGAAUUAGAAGAACCUACCGAAGAAACACCCUCACAAUUUCGUCCUCCAUUAAGGCCUGAACCGGUCGAAGAAGUCUCCGCAUCUCCCAUAAGACCCACGGAAGGAUGGGAGAACGAGCCUGGCUCAAUGCCCGGGGGC